CACUUAGGGAUUCUGUAGGGACUGGGAAGAGAAAAACAUCUUUACAGAAUAUGUACAUUGCUGUAGACUUAGAAGUGAAAUGACCGUGUGCGUGUACACGUCCUUUUGACUGACUAAACCAGUGGCCUAGGAUUAAGGUGAUGAGGGACCUGCUGACUGUGGGACUCGUGGAGUUGAUGAACUGUGGAGCUUUCUUUAAAGGAGGAUGGCCUGAGACCUGUGGCCCCUGAAAGCUAAGUUGAGGGAUGGGUGCUGGGGGGGACAAAGUUGGGAAUUGCAGGGAGGGGUUUUAAAGUCAAGAGCUGGGGAGAGGGCUGUCUGGGAACUGUCCCUUUGGGCAGGUAAAGGCAGUGGGUUACUCUUCAGCGUGAUGUCAGCGUGUGCCAGGCAGGGCAGCUCCAGCCUGCGUGUGUCAUGGUGUAGUUUGUGUGGUCUGUUGUCUUUUGUGUCUCAAACCCUCCUUGGGUCCCAGUCUCCUCUUUGUGCUCCAGGAGCACAGCACUCGCCUUGCAGCCCAUCCUUAGGUCUUGAGCAUCAUCUGUGCUCACCAUCGUAGUGCCCGUGGGGCGCUGCUUUUCUUGCCUGAACUCAAAAGCCCCGCUGGGCCUCGCGACUCGGGUGUCUCCUCUUGAUCCUCUUUUUGCGCCGGUGUUGCGGUCGGUGUCGUCAGCCCCGCUCUGGAGGCUUCUCUUUCACAGGGAGAAUCUCUCUUUUCUGGGCAUUCUUCCCUGUGUCCUUGCAUUCUUGGGUCUUGCCAAGGCUUCUCGUGCAUCCGUCUGCUUCAGUUCUGACUGUAGCUUCUUGUCAUGGUUUGCAAUGUUUGACCUUUCUCUGGGGCUGCCUUACGGGCUCCUUACUGCUGAAAUCACGAGUGAAUUGAGUAUAGGAAUAUUGGGACUAAUGUGUUAAUUAAAGGGAUAUCAGUUCAAAUUGCAUGCCUGUUAAAGACUUGUGCAAACUGACCACUGCUUGACCUAAGCGACUUGACUUUGGACUGGACUUGUGACUUGACUUAGCCUGAGUAUCUGGAGUGAUGAGGCCUUAGGCUGCCAUUCUAAUUAAUCUUCAGCUGAACUCCUGUGAUGAGCCUUAGUUAGACCUUGACUCUACCAGCUGUAAUAAUAUGGAAACAAGAUGUGGGCAAGAUAAUUACUCAAGACGAUCUUCUGAACUGCGAAGAUGCAUUGACUGAAAGUUAAGUGGGAACAACUGGACAAAAUCAGAAUGUGGAAGAUUUUUCCAGCUGAGAAACAAGUGGAAGAGAACAAGACUGGAAGCACCCAGCUCGAGCUGCAGUAAACUGGUUCUGUGGCAGAACUGAGGGUCUGAGCUUCUCUCUCAGGUUGGAGGUGAAGACUGGAUCCAGCUGCACCUAGGCUCUGCCCUGAGAAGAAGCUGAGAAACCAAGGAGGUCCUGUCUGAAGCUCACAACUCAAAAGGAGGGACUUUUGGGACUCCUCACCUGGUGGCAUCUGCAUUGGAGGAGGAGUUUUUUUGUUGCUGAGAGUUUCCUCUCGUGCUUGUGUCACAUCCUUUGUGUUUGUGUGUUGUGUCUCUGUGCUGUUGGGUUGGAGCUGCUCUCUCUGGAGGCUGUAGCAGCUGUGGGGUUGGGAGAAGAACAGCAAGGAGAGCCUGUGGUUUGUGUUGCUGUGCUGUCUGUGCCUGUUGGGGUGCAGAUGGAGCAUUUGAAGUGAAGUAGCAGCCCUCAGCAGGGGAGGGUGGUCAUUUUCCUAGUGUUUUUGAGAGGGGGUGGCUGGAGCCACCUGGGAGAGGCUGCUGGAGCCAUAGCCAAGCAGGUUGGGUGCCCAGGUUGUUAAGGCCUGAAUGUGUGGGGCGUAAUGUUAACUUGUUUUUUAGCUUCCCUGUAGGUAGUUAGGAUCCAAAAGAUGUUCCUAAAUGGGAAUCUCUGGAAUUGCAUCCAGCUGAUUGCUUGUUACUGCUUUUUCAGAUGCAGGGAGAGGAGCCACGCAGCAGAGGGUGAUGGAGGAGAGGAGCAGAGCGCGGUGAGGAGCUGGGUCGGUGCGUAUUGAAGAGUCUGGGUGAGUUGUCCCCUGGGUUGUGAGGGAAGGUGUGAGUGGUGCCUCUAUCGACUGGCUCAUGGUUUGGGUUUGUUUUGUAGGUGCAAAGCACCGAGGGAAGCGGGAGAUCUGCACUGGAGGUGACUCGAGCAAGGCAGCACACAGGGCUGGACGUGGCAACCUGUGACCAUCAGAGGCCGGACAGGUGAGCCACGAAGUUUUGCAGCCUUGGAGCAGUGGAGCAGCAUGCCAACGGGCCAUCUGUGGAGAUGACACAGGCAUCAGCCAGAUGCCACAAGCAAGGAUGGCCUCAGCAUCCGAUUCUGGAACCAGAAGAUCACUAUGAGGAGCCUGGCGAUGGCAGGAACAUCCCGGCAAGGAUGGCUUGUCGAGGAGGAAGGCUGCAGAGCCCUGGCCAUCUGAAAGCUAAGUGGAGGGGCUGGGAGGAGGGGACAAGGUUGGGGAUUGGAGGGGGGGGUUUCAAAGUUGGUGUGGGAGAGAGGGCUGGCAGGGCACAGUCCCCUUGGGGCAGGUCAAGGGACGGGUUACUCUUCAGCACAAUGUCAGUGUGUACAGGGCAGGGCAGCUCCAACCUGUGUCUGGCGUGUACUUCGUGUCGUCUGUUUUCUGUGUCUCAGACUGUAUGUUCCUUGGGUCUUGGUGCCUCCAUAGCCUGGUGAUCAGCAGGCACCUUGGUAGCCCUCCCAAGAGUCCGGAAUGCAUCACUUCACUGGCACAGAGCCUGUUGAGCCCUUCUCAUCUCACAAUUACAGCUUGACGCGUGGAUCUCUUUGGCGUGUGUCACAUCCUGGCUGUUUCUGAGCGUUCAUCUCUUGCGGUGGCCAGCCAGGUGCUGCCCGCAGCUCUGCUCUUGAGUCUUCUGUUUCCACAGAGUCAUCUUCUGGGGUUUCAUCCCCGUGUCCUCACUGGUCUUAGGUCUUCCAGCUCAGCUUCUCACACAUCCCUCAUUCUAGUUUUGAUGGCAGCUUUCUCUUGUGUGCGGCGGCAAUUGCCUCUCCUUGGCAGGUCUGCUUUAGAGCAUCUGUGCCAUCGUGGCACCGCAGGGCUUCUCUGCCGGCAUCAUCUUCCCUAUGGGAAUUGUUCUCCUGUCCUGUGGUCUUCUCAUGUAUCGUGGUCACGUUGCUUUACUUGAUAAAGUGGAAUCUUUCACUGAGCAAGGACAAGAGAGUCACAGAAAGUUACAGAGUUCUUGUGAAACAAAGAUCCUGCUGUUCAAACAAGAAGAUGAGGAGGUACUUGCUUUGCUUAAAAUGUGGCAAAACUGCCAAAGUUGCUGUAGGUGAGUGAUCUCUUCUGCUUGCUGCAAGAUCAUGAAUAUGAAAACCCCACCUCCAGCACUUAGGCUGCCCACCUCCAACUGAAGACCCCCACUCACUGUGUGUGCUGUAGCUCUAAAUCAGAGCGAGACAUUCACUAACCAAUCAGAGUAGAAUAACUGAAUAUGUAUUAGGUGGAGGAAACUAACCAAAAGUGUGUGAAUGUGUAGAGUUUUGUGACUUCAGGGGGCAGCUUUGCAGCUUACCACCUAGCACCUCAUUUGUGCAAACAUGCAAUAAAUGAAAAUACCUUGGCUCUGUAUGUAUUUUGGCAUCUUGCACACCAGGUGAAUGACCCCACUUUUGGUAUAACGAGGUAUAACACUCGUCGUAUCCGUGUGUAGUCCUGGUCUGUGUGUGAGGGUUGGAGCUGCCCUGCCCAGGGGUGCAGCAGUACUGAUGACAGGGUAGCGUAGCUUUAUGGGGGUGUGGAAGUAAGUUGGUUUGGACCAGUUCUGUUGGCAGAGACCAUACGGUCCAUCUCUGGGCCAACAGGUGUAGGCAGCUGCCACAGUUGUGUUUUCUUUACGGUCCGGGGCUAGGAUUGGAUCCAGCCGCACCUAGACUCCUCUGAGAAGGAGUUUAGAAAGCAAGGGGGUCCAGUCUGAACCUCGUGACUGGUUGGGAGCAGCAGUUAGUGUGGAAGGGGAGCGGGUCAGAUCUGGAAGGUGCCUUAGCUUGCACAGAUGGGGCUCCCUAGCUGGCUUUUCUUCUUCUAGCUGUAGUGAGAAGGUAUAUGCAAAAGGCAGAGAGACCUCUGGCCUCACCAAGCUACCUGUGGCUGUGCAGGUGACUUGCUUUACAGGGUGUGUUUGUGUUGUUUCAGAUGCAGAGCAACAAGCAGCACGGCCAAGGGCACGGAAGAGGGGAGCAGAGUGCAGGCUGAAGAAGGACAGGCAUCCAGCGCCGGAGUAUCGGCAGGACAGCUGGUGGUUCUGACAAGCUUGAGCUUCUCUGGCUGGAUUUUCUGGGUGUGAAUCCAAGUGUGAAGCGAGAUGUUAUCAGCAGAGCGGCCUCUGGCAAGGUGUUGGGGUUUUUAUUUUGGAGGCACAAGGCCAGGAGCAGAGCAGGACAUCAGCACUGCAGGUGACUCGGGGGAGGUGGUACACAAGCCCUCCUAGUCCCCUGGGGUCCCCGCCUGGAUGAUUCAGGAUGGCCUGGUGCUGUGCAUUGCAUUUCCAGAGACAAACAGCAGCUUGGCAGCCUGUGGUCAGGACUCCAGAGAGAUUUGAGAAGGCCCCAGAGCACCUUCUGCAUCCUCUCUCAGUCAGCAUGUGAGUGAAGUGAUGCAGGAUUCCCACCUCUGUGCUGGCCCCACGUGCCGUUCUUUUCCCCUGUGGUUCCAGACUGUCAGCAUGGGAGAGACUUGCUUCCCCUCCAGGUCCAAGUGUUUCCCAGUGCAUGAGGGACCUGCCACAGAACCUGAGCUUUCCUGUUGCAUUGACUGAAGAGCUGCAUAACACUUAGAGCCUGGUGUAGGUUGGCUUCUUCCUGCUAAGAAGCCAUUUCUUUACAAAAUGCUUUUCUUUGUCUAAGAUGGAGACAUACAAGUAGUGGUGACCAGAUCUGUGCUUGAAAAUGGACUUGAUGGAAAGUACCAAACUUGUCUUUUGUUGCAAUCCGUAAUGAUUUUUUUGGCCUCUUUUUUUUGUACUGCUUCUCAAAUACAGUUUUCCAGCCUUUUUUUAAAUUUAAGCAGCCAUUGAAAGAAAAACCAGCACUCAGAAUAUUGAUGGAAAAAUAAUUGUGAACAAUUUCAAAACUUCACAGAUUUGUUUAUAAGAUUAAUUUAUUUGAAAAAGUGACACACUUGUUGCUAAUCAAUUAAUAACACACUAUUUUCACUUCAUAAUGGAGUCACAAGCUGCUGUCCUCAGACCCUGAUCUCUGGGAGGCUCUUUGUAGAAAAUCAUGCAUAGGAAUAGGAUCAUCCUCUAGGAAAGCUGGAAACACUGUGGUUCAUAAAUUGGAUUUUUUUGUGGAGUAAAACCUGGCCGUGUUGGGCAAGCCUCCUGGAAAUACCCCUGCUUUCCUAGGAACUUGCUGGAGAAAUCCCCAGGCAGACUGACCAUGACACCUGAAGCAGAUACCAGCCACUGGUGUGUUCAGAUGCUGAAUGAAUAUUUCUCAUGUUCCCUUUGAACUGCUGGAAACCUGCCAGAGUUAAAUCCCAUCUUUCAUCUCUGGAGCUUUGCUGUUUUCCUUAUUUUUUUGCCUAAGGUGCAUGAUCUGAGGUGUUAGUGUUUGAACUUGGACUGGAAGAUGCAGUUAAAAUACUCGUCUUUAUGCAGAAAGCAACCAGGGGAGACAUUCUCGAGUGUAAGUGUGGUAAUUAAUAAGAUUGUAAUGAUGAGAAAAUCAGACUUUCUUCUGGAAAUCACUAGCAAGUUACAACCAAAGAAAGAAGUGGAUGUCAGGAUAAGGAACCCUGUGACCAUAUGGCAUUGGAAGACAUGCAUUAGGUGUUCUCUCUGUGGUUUGGCUUGACAAAACCAGUGUGGAAAAGACAGCUGAGGAGGUUCUGCUCCUCUGUGUCAUGAUAGAAGAGGAAAAUGAUAAUGAAAUGUGAAACUCUGAAGUAGCUCAGCAAAUUUCAGUGUUCUGCUUAUUACAGGGACAACUGAAAUUCCCCAUAUAGAUUCUGUGCUUUAAAAUACAACAAUUCAAAUGAACAAAACUGAUCUCAGCUGGUGCAUUUCUUGACCAAGUGGGGUUCUAUGGUCUCUCUGAGCAGCCUAUCAGCUGAACUGCUGGGAUUUUCCAUUUCUUGGUGUUUUGUUUUUUUUUUUUUAAUUUUUACAUGACUAAGAGUGAGUUAUGUGGAAAAUCAACUCCAGGAAGCUUAUCUCAGUGGAACCCAAGAAAAAGUAACAUGCAUAAAUUAGGAUGAACUAUAUCCUGAGAUGAGCUUUACUAAUCAGGUUAAAAGAAGAUACAGAGACCUGAGAGUAUUUUAAUGUUACAUAAAUAAAUUUUUAUCUAUAUAACAGCA
This is a long non-coding RNA of Apus apus (common swift), 6347 nucleotides long. RefSeq lists it as uncharacterized. The transcript has 8 exons. The record is from RefSeq and is a predicted model, not a curated record. NCBI's taxonomy places the organism in Eukaryota, Metazoa, Chordata, Aves, Apodiformes, Apodidae.